Molecule: RNA transcript, 3718 nt
Organism: Drosophila erecta
Lineage: Eukaryota; Metazoa; Arthropoda; Insecta; Diptera; Drosophilidae
Gene: tmod
Gene name: tropomodulin
Exons: 9
Source: RefSeq, a predicted model, not a curated record
CCAUUGUUCCGUAAUUCUCCGUCAUCCGUCAUCCGUUCUCCGUUCUUCGUUGUUGUCGCGCCUUUCGUGGCCACUGGUCGACGUUACGUUGCUACAGUUCGAUAGUCGAGCACUUCCCGAGAGGAUCGAAGGCUCCAGACCUGCGUAAACCCAAAGGAUCCACAAUAGCCCCAAAUAUACGGUGAUUGGGUCGAAAACAAGUUACUAAAGAACCAGCGCGCCGUGAAAUUCCACUUGUUUAUAUAAUAACCAGCGGCUGCCAAGAGCCCAGCGGAAUAUACAAAAAAUAUUCAUUUUUCUAGCUCUGGUCGUUUGUAUUUUUUCAGGCAAAAAUAAAGAAAAGAAGAUAGAAGAAAGAAGAAAACCCAAGCAAUUCUGCGUGUUAUGUGUUAUUGUUGUGAUCAGUGAUCAGUGAUCAAGUGAAAGUGAACACAAGGACGAGAGAGCAACCAGCCCAGUGAAUCAGCUCCCAUCGACUCCCAUCGAAAAGGAUAUCAAUCAGUGACAAUGUCGGACAUUGAGGAUGUUAUCGGUGGCUCCGCCGAGGAGACCAAGCCCGAGCCCGAUGCCGAGAGCAAGACCAGCGUGGUCACCGAGCACACCGAGGAGGUGAUUCCCGGCGAGACCGAGAAAAUGGUCACGGAGACCAUCGAUGAGGACGGCGAUGUCGUGGAGGAAACCACCGAGGUUACCCGCAAGACGGUGAAGCGCACCAUGAAGAUCACUGAGACUUCUGCCACCACAAAGACAACCACGCUCACCACCCCCGCCAAACUGUAUGGCAAGGAUCUGAGUGAGUACGACGAUGUGGACGUGGAGAGCCUGCUGGCCCAGCUCUCCCCCGAGGAGAUAACCAUACUGGCCAAAGAAGUGGAUCCCGAUGACAACUUCCUGCCGCCAGACCAGCGCAACAGCUAUGAGUGCACCAAGGAAGCCACCGGGCCCCUCAAUCGCAAGCAGCUGAUCGAGCACAUCAACAAGCAGGCCAUCGAGACACCGGAUCAGCCGGAAUUUGAGCCGUUCGUUCAGGGCAAGGUCCGUGGAAAGAAGUGGGUCCCUCCGCCAAGGGAUGCACGCGACAUCGAGGCCGAAGAACAGAUCGCCAUCGACAUGGGCGAGGAGUACGAGCACGCCCUCAACGAUGCCACGCAGGAGGAGAUCAUCGACCUGGCCGCCAUCCUCGGCUUCCACUCGAUGAUGAAUCAGGACCAGUACCACGCCUCCUUGCUCAACAAGGGUCAGCCCGUAGGCCUGGGCUGGGAUGGCAUCACGAAAUCCACUCAGCAGAAGCUCUUCCCUAUGGAUCCGCCCAAUAGCACAGAUGUGGAGGAGUCCAUCAAGCGGGUCAAGGACGACGACUCCAAGCUGAUUGACCUCAACUUGAACAACAUUAAGAACAUCUCGGACGAGAAGCUCGAGCAACUGUUUGCCGCACUGCCUCAGAACGAACAUCUGGAAGUCCUCUCGCUGACAAAUGUGGGCCUCACCGACAAGACAGCCCUCCUGUUAGCCGCGGCCAUAGAGAAGAGCAAAACCCUGAGAGUAUUAAAUGUCGAGACCAACUUCAUCAGUCCGCCCGUGAUUGUUAAGCUGGUGCAAGCCCUGCUCAAGUGCCACACCAUCGAGGAGUUCAGGGCCUCCAAUCAGCGGUCCGCGGUGCUGGGCAACAAGAUCGAGAUGGAAAUCACCGACCUGGUGGAGAAGAACUCGUCGCUGCUGCGCCUUGGAUUGCACCUGGAGUUCAACGACGCCCGCCACCGAGUGGCCGCUCACCUGCAGCGCAACAUCGACAGAAUAAGAAAAGAUCUUGAGUUGCGACUGCAGUUCAGAUUUUUCAAUAAUCUGCAUAGAAAGUCGACAAGAAUUCAAUAAGCAGACCACAAACCAAGCAACUAAACAAAAAAACCAUUUUUAAAGCGUUUUGUAAUCUAAACCCAAAGAACCGAAGAAAAACAAGCACAUAACAACGAAAGAACGUGUAUAAUAUAAUAUAUAUUUAACAAGAUGAAGGAAGCAGGAGCACAAGUUUAAGCUAAAGAUAAAGCAGCCCACGAGCUUGCCAAAAAAUCUAUAUCUAUAUACUCUAGAGACUUUAACUAAGCAAAGCAAACUGAAACCAAAGAAACGAAGCGAAAUAUCAAACUAAAUACAUAUGCCACACUUAUCGAUAAAGAUCGCAGAUCGAGCAGACUCGUGAUCCAUGGAUUUAGCAUAAUACCCAUGUGCCACGAGUUAUGUUUUAAGUCGAGGCCUCUUCUAAAACUCAGCAGAAACCGUUUAGGCGUCACGUGUAUAAUUUUAUCUAACGCUUAACACAGGAAUUAAACUGCGAUGUAUGAUCUAAGUGAGUCCCCAGAUCCGAGUCAAAGUAAAGCGAUAGUAGCAGAAACCCAUAACAAACGUAGAUUUGAGACACUUUAUGAUUCAGUAAGAACCACCAACUAACAGCAGAAAAUAAAGCAGCACCACCGACAAGCAGAGCCAUGAAAAACUACAGAAAUAAAAAACAUGCAGAAACGAUGCAGAAUAUCUGAAACAGACGAAAAUACGUGUGAAACGCCUGAACCAGCGUAAAUAAAAAGACAAAUACGAAAUAUAUAGCAGCAACCAACCAACAACAACAUGCCACCACCCAAGAACAACAAUCAAGCAGAAAGCCAUCUAUAUGUGUGUGUGUUUCUCUGUCCGACUCUUGAUUUGACAAUUACUUUUACAAUUAAUUAACAAGCAAGCCCCAGCAAGAAUAUCAAAACCAAACCAACAACACCUCCAGCAAACCAGAACAACAGCAACAUGCGCAACCACGGCCACCAGAACAACAGAUCUUUGUCCAUGUCCAAACUCCCCCACCAACCGACCUCUGUACUCCCCGAAAACCAAUCCAACCAACCAGCUGUGAACUAACACCGAAGAAUGAUGUGCGACAUGAAUUGGACGUCAGCGUCGCAUGGGACAUCUGACCAGGAACUACACCGUUGGCGUCUGGCAGUAGGAUUCAUCCGAUUGGAACUGCGGAGUCCACACAUUUUACACAGAAAGAAAUCAAUAGCCUAACAGUAGUGUUGUCUCACACGCUUGUUGCUGCUCUCACGCAGAGAAUUGUUCUAUAUUGUUUUGUUCAGUGUUUGUUGCGUUCUUCAGAUUGAUGUUUUCGGUUCGAGUUUGUGUUUGGAUCACCACCUAAGCAUAAGCAAUUGUUUGUUACGAGUUAGGCGAAUGUUCAUUGUCACACACGCAGAUCCAGGAUUAACUUUCUAUCUGGCAGCUCUAAAGUAGUUAUUUCCUUAAGCAAAUCUUCACAUUUACGCUGCAGCUAUACACACGUUUAUUUUAUUUUAUUUACCUACCAUUCUGUCCUUGGAUUAUUUGUAGCCCCUAGACGGGGCGAUAUUUCACAAUUUUUAGUUUUAGUCGUGUUUAUAUCCACACAUGCACACAUGAUACAAACACAUACACAUAACAUACAUAAUACUUACACACUAUAUAUAUAUGAUACAUAUAUAGCCAUGGUCUCUGAAAACAAUUUACUGCUAUUGAAUUAUGAAAUGCUUAAACAUAAAUUUAACUUAUGGUUAAACACACAAAACAAAUGAAAAACAUACAAUUGUAUAAUGUAAUGAUAUCUUACUUUAUAUGACAUAAUGCAAUGCUUUUAAAAUACAAUUUUUAAAAAUCAUGUAAAAACUUUAAAAUUAAAUAAAAAAAAUACAAAAAACAA